This 253-nucleotide ribosomal RNA is filed under the name uncultured bacterium. Its description in RNAcentral is "partial 16S ribosomal RNA". It matches the Rfam family "Bacterial small subunit ribosomal RNA", at positions 524 to 776 of the family's 1533-position model. The record is from RNAcentral.
UACGAAGGGGGCUAGCGUUGCUCGGAAUCACUGGGCGUAAAGGGCGCGUAGGCGGGAUGGCAAGUCAGUCGUGAAAUCUCUCGGCUCAACCGAGAAACGUCGGCUGAUACUGCCGUUCUUGAGGGAUGCAGAGGAGACUGGAAUUCCCGGUGUAGCGGUGAAAUGUGUAGAGAUCGGGAGGAACACCGGUGGCGAAGGCGGGUCUCUGGGCAUCUCCUGACGCUGAGGCGCGAAAGCGUGGGGAGCAAACGGG